This 827-nucleotide ribosomal RNA is filed under the name uncultured Wolbachia sp. RNAcentral describes it as "bacterial SSU rRNA". It matches the Rfam family "Bacterial small subunit ribosomal RNA", at positions 94 to 959 of the family's 1533-position model. Lineage: Bacteria; Pseudomonadati; Pseudomonadota; Alphaproteobacteria; Rickettsiales; Anaplasmataceae. The record is from RNAcentral.
AGUGGCAGACGGGUGAGUAAUGUAUAGGAAUCUACCUAGUAGUACGGAAUAAUUGUUGGAAACGGCAACUAAUACCGUAUACGCCCUACGGGGGAAAAAUUUAUUGCUAUUAGAUGAGCCUAUAUUAGAUUAGUUAGUUGGUGAGGUAAAGGCUUACCAAGACAAUGAUCUAUAGCUGAUCUGAGAGGAUGAUCAGCCACACUGGAACUGAGAUACGGUCCAGACUCCUACGGGAGGCAGCAGUGGGGAAUAUUGGACAAUGGGCGAAAGCCUGAUCCAGCCAUGCCGCAUGAGUGAAGAAGGCCUUCGGGUUGUAAAGCUCUUUUAGUGAGGAAGAUAAUGACGGUACUCACAGAAGAAGUCCUGGCUAACUCCGUGCCAGCAGCCGCGGUAAUACGGAGAGGGCUAGCGUUAUUCGGAAUCAUUGGGCGUAAAGGGCGCGUAGGCGGGUUAGUAAGUUAAAAGUGAAAUCCCAAGGCUCAACCUUGGAACUGCUUUUAAAACUGCUAGUCUAGAGAUUGAAAGAGGAUAGAGGAAUUCCUAGUGUAGAGAUGAAAUUCGUAAAUAUUAGGAGGAACACCAGUGGCGAAGGCGUCUAUCUGGUUCAAAUCUGACGCUGANGCGCGAAGGCGUGGGGAGCAAACAGGAUUAGAUACCCUGGUAGUCCACGCUGUAAACGAUGAAUGUUAAAUAUGGGAAGUUUACUUUCUGUAUUAUAGCUAACGCGUUAAACAUUCCGCCUGGGGACUACGGUCGCAAGAUUAAAACUCAAAGGAAUUGACGGGGACCCGCACAAGCGGUGGAGCAUGUGGUUUAAUUCGAUGCNA